Molecule: unclassified non-coding RNA, 938 nt
Filed under: Hevea brasiliensis (rubber tree)
Lineage: Eukaryota; Viridiplantae; Streptophyta; Magnoliopsida; Malpighiales; Euphorbiaceae
Source: RNAcentral
AUCUGAACUGUCUGAAAAAUAUGGAGCUGAAGAUGGCUGGAAAGAGUUUUUCUCAUUCCAUGUUGAAACAGUAGAGGGUGCAGUUAAGUCAUGGCAUGAAACUUCAAAAGUGGAUCCUAGAGUUUAUUUCCUUCUGAACAAGGAGAAGACAGACACGGAAAAGUACGCUCCAGCUGUUAAUAUAGAUAAGGCUUUUGAGUCACCCCAUACGCACAGCAAUUGUUUUGCAUUUCUUCGACAGUAUGCUGAAGAUUCUUUCGCUCAAGCUGCGUGUUUAGUGACACCAAAAAGUAUCAUAUCUUAUCCACAGGUUUGGAAAGGUCAAGGAUCAAGAAAGUGGAAGCAUGGUCAAAAUGAUGGAAUUUUCGUCCAAUUUGAAUCUCCUCUAGUGCGGAAGUUGUGGUUUAUCCCUAGCUCCACUGAGAAAGGCAAAACAUUAUGCAGGGAUCCAGUGCCUUUGGAUAUUAGUGCACAUGAAAUCCUCCCGCGUGUAUUCAAGCAAGAAUAGUUGAGAUAGAUGCAGUUCCAUAUCUUGGGUUAGCUCUUUGUGGGAUUGUGUUGGGGAGAAAAUGGGCCUGUUAACUACGAGGAAAAGCACGAACGGUACAUCACAUAUUUUUAUUGGAUUAGCACAACAUGUAGGAUGCUGUCAAACUCCCACAGUUCUCUCAUAUUGGUGAGGUAGGUUACAUUAGCUGUCAAGAUAUCAAAAUCCUUUGAAGUUUUCCUAUAGUAAAUUAGAAUUUCCGGGUGUCCCGUAACCCUCUGUAUUUUCAUUUUACUUUCACUCUGUUGUUGGCUGUUUUGAUCUGGCAGUGAGUUUUCUUAGAAGUCAUUUUUUCAAUUGUUUUCGGAUUGGAACUCUUGUAAAUUUGCGCGGCUAGAAGCAAUGUUGCUGUUUUUACCUUGACUUCUCUCUACCUGAAAGUAUAUUGGAG